AGAGUUUGAUCAUGGCUCAGGAUGAACGCUAGCUACAGGCUUAACACAUGCAAGUCGAGGGGCAGCAUGUUGGUUGCUUGCAACCAAUGAUGGCGACCGGCGCACGGGUGAGUAACGCGUAUCCAACCUACCCUUGUCCAUCGGAUAACCCGUCGAAAGGCGGCCUAACACGAUAUGCGGUUCACAGCAGGCAUCUAAGGUGAACGAAAUGUGAAGGAGAAGGGUGGGGAUGCGUCUGAUUAGCUUGUUGGCGGGGCAACGGCCCACCAAGGCUACGAUCAGUAGGGGUUCUGAGAGGAAGGUCCCCCACAUUGGAACUGAGACACGGUCCAAACACCUACGGGAGGCA
RNAcentral lists this ribosomal RNA (349 nucleotides) under uncultured bacterium. RNAcentral describes it as "bacterial SSU rRNA". It matches the Rfam family "Bacterial small subunit ribosomal RNA", at positions 8 to 350 of the family's 1533-position model. The record is from RNAcentral.